GCAGUGAUGGUUCAGUGGUAGAAUUCUUGCCUUCCAUGUAGGAGACCCAGGUUCAACGUCAGGUCAAUACA
RNAcentral lists this transfer RNA (71 nucleotides) under Loxodonta africana (African savanna elephant). It matches the Rfam family "tRNA". From Rfam's summary of the family: Transfer RNA (tRNA) molecules are approximately 80 nucleotides in length. The record is from Rfam by way of RNAcentral. Lineage: Eukaryota; Metazoa; Chordata; Mammalia; Proboscidea; Elephantidae.